GACGAACGCUGGCGGCGUGCUUAACACAUGCAAGUCGAACGGGUCUGCCCUGUUUUUUGCGGGGUGGGUCAGUGGCGAACGGGUGAGUAACACGUGAGUAACCUGCCCCUCACUUCUAGAUAACCGCUUGAAAGGGUGGCUAAUACGGGGUGUUCUGGCUGUGCCGCAUGGUGUGGCUGGGAAAGAUUCACUUUUGUGGUGUUUUGGUGGGGGAUGGGCUCGCGGCCUAUCAGCUUGUUGGUGGGGUGAUGGCCUGCCAAGGCUUUGACGGGUAGCCGGCCUGAGAGGGUGGGCGGUCACACUGGGACUGAGAUACGGCCCAGACUCCUGCGGGAGGCAGCAGUGGGGGGUAUUGCACAAUGGGCGGAAGCCUGAUGCAGCGACGUCGCGUGAGGGAUGGAGGCCUUCGGGUUGUGAACCUCUUUCGCCGGUGAAGAAGGUCCUGCUCUUUGUGGUGGGGUUGACGGUAGCCGGGUUAUGAAGCGCCGGCUAACUACGUG
This 500-nucleotide ribosomal RNA is filed under the name uncultured bacterium. Its description in RNAcentral is "partial 16S ribosomal RNA". It matches the Rfam family "Bacterial small subunit ribosomal RNA", at positions 28 to 507 of the family's 1533-position model. The record is from RNAcentral.